This 477-nucleotide ribosomal RNA is filed under the name Staphylococcus equorum. RNAcentral describes it as "bacterial SSU rRNA". It matches the Rfam family "Bacterial small subunit ribosomal RNA", at positions 16 to 474 of the family's 1533-position model. Lineage: Bacteria; Bacillati; Bacillota; Bacilli; Caryophanales; Staphylococcaceae. The record is from RNAcentral.
AUCCUGGCUCAGGAUGAACGCUGGCGGCGUGCCUAAUACAUGCAAGUCGAGCGAACGGAUAAGGAGCUUGCUCCUUUGAAGUUAGCGGCGGACGGGUGAGUAACACGUGGGUAACCUACCUAUAAGACUGGAAUAACUUCGGGAAACCGGAGCUAAUGCCGGAUAACAUUUGGAACCGCAUGGUUCUAAAGUAAAAGAUGGUUUUGCUAUCACUUAUAGAUGGACCCGCGCCGUAUUAGCUAGUUGGUAAGGUAACGGCUUACCAAGGCAACGAUACGUAGCCGACCUGAGAGGGUGAUCGGCCACACUGGAACUGAGACACGGUCCAGACUCCUACGGGAGGCAGCAGUAGGGAAUCUUCCGCAAUGGACGAAAGUCUGACGGAGCAACGCCGCGUGAGUGAUGAAGGUUUUCGGAUCGUAAAACUCUGUUAUUAGGGAAGAACAAAUAUGUAAGUAACUGUGCACAUCCUUGACG